AGCUGGAUCAUUUUUCCGAUGAUUUAUAUCAAAAAAACACAGACAGCAGCAACAACUUUGCUUGCUUGCUUGUCACCAAAAACAAAACAAAAAAAACAUUUGCCGCUUGAUAUAUAUUUUUAUAUUGAGCACGGCCCCAACAACGUGUCGCGAUGGAUGACUUGGCUUCCUAUUUCGUUGAAGAACGCAGCAAAGUGCGAUAAGUGGUAUCAAUUGCAGAAUCAUCCAAUUACCGAAUCUUUGAACGCAAAAGGCGCAUGGGAGAAGCUCUUCACGAGUCAACCCCGUGCAUGCCGCUUCUCAGUGUCGAACAAAAAAAACAAAAAACCAUCGCACAUUUUGUGUGUUGGCAAUAAACAAAAAGAGAGUCUGCUGUCUGGACGAAAACACGCACUUCAUUUGUUGUUGUGUGUUAUGGUCCGCAGCGGCGCUUGUUGUUUUGUGUGUGCAUAAAAACACACACAAAACAACGAAAACAAAAAACAACACCAACAACAACAAACUUCUGUUUGCUUGCUGAAAAACAUUUGUUUACAGACCUGAGCGCGGCAGGACUACCCGCCGAACUUAAGCAUAUUACUCAGCGGAGGAAAAGAAAACAACCGUGAUUCCCUCAGUCAGCGGCGAGCGAAGAGGGACCGGACCCGUUGCCGAAUCGGGCCUCAAUGGCCUUGACCUGUGGCACAAACGCCGUACUGUGAAUGGUGCGGGAGUGGCGAAAUUCAACCGCAAAGCAAACCCAUUGCUGAAUACAACCCUUCAUGUGAGUAUUGAGCCAGAGAAGGUGUCAGCCCAUUGAGCCACGAACCCGAGCGCCACACGGAUGCGGUACCAAGAGAGUAGCACUGUUUGGGAAUGCAGUGUCAAGCGGCAGGUAUGUGUCUGCCAAGGUUAAAUACAGAGUAGGAAGACCGAUAGCGAACAAGUAGCGUGAGCGAAAGUUUGAAAAGCACUUUGGAAAGAGAGUGACAUAGAACCUGAAGUCGUGACAACGAUAAUGAAAGUACCUCCAUUUCAACGGCCAAAACCAGCCUCGCAGCAUUCUCCCGCCGGGGUCAUUCAAAAAUCCGGCGGGCAACGAAGUGCAAGAAUGAGGGUCUUGGUGAAAUGGGCGGGGAAACCAAGCGGCGCCACCGGCCUCAAAAACCGUGCUGCGUCGUUCUGCCCCGUGAUGCUCCAUGUUGGCGAUGGAAAUGGGGUGCCUUCACCCGUCUUGAAACACGGACCAAGGAGUCAAACAGACGCGCAAGGGAGAAGAUAUCAACACUAAAUACUUCUCUCGUACUGAAAGGGAGGUGCGAACGCACCCGUGGUGUGCACAAGAGAGUCACAUUUUUUGCCCAACACCGACCGGCCCCCCGUGGGUCGAGUUUGAGUGUGCCUGUUUGGACCCGAAAGGUGGUGAACUAUGCCUGAACAAGGUGAAGCCGGGGGAAACCCAGGUGGAGGCCUGUAGCGAUGCUGACGUGCAAAUCGCUCGCACGAUUUGGGUAUCGGAGCGAAAGACUCAUCGAACCACCUAGUAGCUGGUUCACAU
Molecule: unclassified non-coding RNA, 1537 nt
Filed under: uncultured fungus
Lineage: Eukaryota; Fungi
Description: sequence contains 18S rRNA gene, ITS1, 5.8S rRNA gene, ITS2, 28S rRNA gene
Rfam family: Eukaryotic large subunit ribosomal RNA (bases 536-1537)
Source: RNAcentral